AUUGAACGCUGGCGGUAUGCUUAACACAUGCAAGUCGAACGGUAACAGGCCUUCGGGCGCUGACGAGUGGCGGACGGGUGAGUAACGCGUAGGAAUCUGCCUCAUAGUGGGGGACAACGUGGGGAAACUCACGCUAAUACCGCAUACGCCCUACGGGGAAAGCGGGGGAUCUUCGGACCUCGCGCUAUGAGAUGAGCCUGCGUUAGAUUAGCUAGUUGGUAGGGUAAAGGCCUACCAAGGCGACGAUCUAUAGCUGGUCUGAGAGGACGAUCAGCCACACUGGGACUGAGACACGGCCCAGACUCCUACGGGAGGUAGCAGUGGGGAAUAUUGGACAAUGGGCGCAAGCCUGAUCCAGCCAUUCCGCGUGCAGGAUGAAGGCCUUCGGUUGGUAAACUAGCUUUGUUACGGAACGAAACGGGUACUGUCCCUAACUACGGUGGGCGUAAUGACGGUACCGUAAGUAAUAAG
This 471-nucleotide ribosomal RNA is filed under the name uncultured bacterium. RNAcentral describes it as "bacterial SSU rRNA". It matches the Rfam family "Bacterial small subunit ribosomal RNA", at positions 30 to 490 of the family's 1533-position model. The record is from RNAcentral.